UACGUAGGGUGCGAGCGUUAAUCGGAAUUACUGGGCGUAAAGCGUGCGCAGGCGGUUUGCUAAGACCGAUGUGAAAUCCCCCGGGCUUAACCUGGGAACUGCAUUGGUGACUGGCAGGCUAGAGUAUGGCAGAGGGGGGGUAGAAUUCCACGUGUAGCAGUGAAAUGCGUAGAGAUGUGGAGGAAUACCGAUGGCGAAGGCAGCCCCCUGGGCCAAUACUGACGCUCAUGCACGAAAGGCGUGGGGAGCAAACGAGG
Molecule: ribosomal RNA, 257 nt
Filed under: uncultured bacterium
Lineage: Bacteria
Description: partial 16S ribosomal RNA
Rfam family: Bacterial small subunit ribosomal RNA
Source: RNAcentral